Molecule: ribosomal RNA, 503 nt
Filed under: uncultured bacterium
Lineage: Bacteria
Description: partial 16S ribosomal RNA
Rfam family: Bacterial small subunit ribosomal RNA
Source: RNAcentral
AUUGAACGCUGGCGGCAGGCUUAACACAUGCAAGUCGAGCGGGGUGAUGGUGCUUGCACUAUCACUUAGCGGCGGACGGGUGAGUAAUGCUUAGGAAUCUGCCUAUUAGUGGGGGACAACAUCUCGAAAGGGAUGCUAAUACCGCAUACGUCCUACGGGAGAAAGCAGGGGAUCACUUGUGACCUUGCGCUAAGAGAUGAGCCUAGGUCGGAUUAGCUAGUUGGUGGGGUAAAGGCCUACCAAGGCGACGAUCUGUAGCGGGUCUGAGAGGAUGAUCCGCCACACUGGGACUGAGACACGGCCCAGACUCCUACGGGAGGCAGCAGUGGGGAAUAUUGGACAAUGGGGGGAACCCUGAUCCAGCCAUGCCGCGUGUGUGAAGAAGGCCUUAUGGUUGUAAAGCACUUUAAGCGAGGAGGAGGCUCUUUUGGUUAAUACCCAAGAUGAGUGGACGUUACUCGCAGAAUAAGCACCGGCUAACUCUGUGCCAGCAGCCGCCGUAA